AAAAUGCUCAAGAGGCAAUUCCGUACACUGAAAGCCCAGGGAAGACUCCCUCUGGACCUCCCUCUGAGACCAAUGAAGGCCUGGCUCCUGGCAGGGAAAAGAGUCUUCUUGGAGCGUGAGACAGAGACAUGGAAGAGAUGGAGGAAGGUCUGUGUAGCUGAAUUGACUUGGGAUGCAAAGAGGGGCCUGGAAUUACAGGAGACAGAGAGAGUUCUCCUGGUCAGUUGCCAGAGAGUUCAGGAUGAAUUAAGGAA
Oncorhynchus kisutch (coho salmon) is the source of this 254-nucleotide long non-coding RNA. RefSeq lists it as uncharacterized. NCBI's taxonomy places the organism in Eukaryota, Metazoa, Chordata, Actinopteri, Salmoniformes, Salmonidae. The record is from RefSeq and is a predicted model, not a curated record. The transcript is spliced from 3 exons.